GUGAGGAAUAUUGGUCAAUGGACGGAAGUCUGAACCAGCCAAGUAGCGUGCAGGAUGACGGCCCUAUGGGUUGUAAACUGCUUUUAUGCGGGGGUAAAGUGAGUGACGUGUCAUUCAUUGCAAGUACCGCAAGAAUAAGGACCGGCUAAUUCCGUGCCAGCAGCCGCGGUAAUACGGAAGGUCCUGGUGUUAUCCGGAUUUAUUGGGUUUAAAGGGAGCGUAGGCCGUCAGGCAAGCGUGUUGUGAAAUGUCGUGGCUCAACCAUGGACUUGCAGCGCGAACUGCCCGACUUGAGUGCGCAGAAAGCAGGCGGAAUUUGUGGUGUAGCGGUGAAAUGCUUAGAUAUCACGAAGAACCCCGAUUGCGAAGGCAGCCUGCUGUAGCGCUACUGACGCUGAAGCUCGAAAGUGCGGGUAUCGAACAGGAUUAGAUACCCCUGUAGUCC
RNAcentral lists this ribosomal RNA (445 nucleotides) under uncultured bacterium. Its description in RNAcentral is "partial 16S ribosomal RNA". It matches the Rfam family "Bacterial small subunit ribosomal RNA", at positions 354 to 796 of the family's 1533-position model. The record is from RNAcentral.